ACUUACUGCAACAGAUGAGGGGCUCUUAAACCAUCUGUUAACCUUUCUUUCUCCUUUUUUUAACCAUGUAGAGUCGCUCAAGGCAAGAAGACCCAGAGACAGCAAGACUGAAACAAAAAGCAAAGGAGGUGCCUGCUUCCUAGAAGUGGCAGCUGUGCCUGACUAAUUGAGUUGCAGUAAACCCAGUUGUCCAGAAACAGUGAGAAUGCUUCUCAGGGCAGGAGCAAAAGGCCAGCAUUAGGAGAAGACCUGUUCUGGGGACAGUUAGACCCUGCUGCCCCAGCUCUCACCACAUCCCCCGUGAGGAUGCAUCUGGAAGGAGGAGGUAAGAAGGCUCUCGACAAGGCUGCACUCAGGCUGCUUACUCAGCCGAGAGUAAUGCUGCAGGGGGAGGGCA
RNAcentral lists this long non-coding RNA (397 nucleotides) under Bos indicus x Bos taurus (hybrid cattle). Its description in RNAcentral is "lncRNA (ENSBIXG00000002504.1)". Lineage: Eukaryota; Metazoa; Chordata; Mammalia; Artiodactyla; Bovidae. The record is from RNAcentral.